RNAcentral lists this long non-coding RNA (1534 nucleotides) under Zostera marina. RNAcentral's name for it is "long non-coding RNA (ZMAR_LNC004264)". The record is from RNAcentral. Lineage: Eukaryota; Viridiplantae; Streptophyta; Magnoliopsida; Alismatales; Zosteraceae.
UGAUCUAGUCACCUAGCUUGCAAGGUUCCCUCUUGUCUCUAACUGGCCGACCUUCUUCUACUUCAACAUCGGCCUCUAGAAAUCCCCUUUCAGUUAACUGUUUCUCCAAUGCGGCUUCAAUUAUGUCUCUAUCGAAAUGGAGUGCUUCAAAUUUCGCCAAAUCGCUUGUGUGUCAAGGCUAUUGGCCAAUAGGCUUUCAUUGGUGGUGCCUGAGCUACUCUCCUUAUUCAACCAGUCAUCCUUUGUAAAAGGUCACUGAUAAUUCAUGCCUUGUGGGAAAAAAAUGAUUCGAGGAUUUGGUCAAAAAAGUAUUGGAAGGCGGGCAUGUGUUUCGGUGGAUAUGAGGAAGCCUUUUGAUUUAGUGAGCUAGGAAUCAAUUAUUGUUACUUUGGAAAGUAUGGGAUUCAAUUAUCACUUCAUAAGAAUUAUAGUGGAUUAUAUAUCACAACUACCCAAGUUCUCGAUCUUGGUGGAAGGUGAACUAACCAAGAAUUCAAGGGUAGUUAUUGGGACUUCGAAAAGGUGACCCUCUAUCUCCUCUACUUUUUAAUCUGGCGAUCGAAAAUAUUUCACAAGUUUUUAUGAUAAGGAAUAUUGCAAACAGCUUGAUACGUAUUAAUGUUGCUGAGGGUCCAAGAUACGUAUCGACUAUGUUGAAGGAAAGGUCGCUCUUAUGUCGUCGGUAGCUCUCCAACAAGACCAACUGAUCUUGAGCUAGAUCUUGAUAAGAAAUUUACAAGCGAUCUUGCCUCAGGUAGUCUCCUACAAGACAUCAACAAGUGUAGGGUCUUGCCUGUAGAAGUUGUACGCAUCAAGGACUCAAACAAGGUAGUUACAUCUUCAUUGUAGAUGGUGAAAAACGAAUCAGGAUCUUUACAGGUAGAUCUGACCUAAAUAAUUUACCAAGAAACUCUAUAAGCUAACCUAAGUUUAUGGUUCAGCUUAUAAACCUCUCAAGUGUUGAUCUUAAAACAAUACUUCUUACAACACUUGGAACAUGAUUUGUAGAAAAGGGGAUUAAAAAAACUCUUUGCUUACAACAACACUCACUCUUAGUCUUGGAGAAUAAAAGGAGGAGAUGAUGAGCACUUGAAUCAAGUGAUGAUGACUCUCCCUUAAAGACACGAAUCUCUCUUGGUGGUGUUUGAAAGCAAUGAAAGCAAAGAGACAAUGAGCUCUUAUGGAGUGAUGCACGAUUUCUCUCUUCGAAGUGUUGGCUUCCUUUGGUUGAUCAUAGACUAUUUAUAGAGUUUUGAGAAUCAAAGUGGUUGAGAAGAGCAUUAAUAUUCCUUUGCAUUAGUUGGAAAUAUUAUUCAUCCAUAGCAUGGUUUAGAUCUAGCACACAUUAGAGGAUAAUGUGGUUGUAUAAUUAAGUUCAACACAUACUAGCAAUAUAUUUAAAGGAAUAAUUAAAUAGUUUGAACACAUGUUAGGAUAAAAUCGAUUAUAUAUAUGAUUAAUGUUUAAUUUGAUUUCUCUUAUAUAAUAUCUUAGAUCUAGCACAUAUUAGCAUUUAAUUCAUAGAUUAAAAUUC